This 72-nucleotide transfer RNA is filed under the name Capsaspora owczarzaki. RNAcentral describes it as "tRNA-Asn". It matches the Rfam family "tRNA". Rfam says of the family: Transfer RNA (tRNA) molecules are approximately 80 nucleotides in length. Their secondary structure includes four short double-helical elements and three loops (D, anti-codon, and T loops). The record is from RNAcentral. Lineage: Eukaryota; Filasterea; Ministeriida; Capsasporidae.
UCUUUUGUAGCUCAGUGGUAGAGCACUUGACUGUUAAUUAAGGUGUCACUGGUUCAAACCCAGUCAAAAGAG